GUUCUUUACGAGCCCAAGAAUUCAACCAUACCAUUUUUAGGACGUGAAACCUUCAAAAACCCGAGAACCAGAAUUCCCGAGUUAAGGUAUUGUUCAUGCAAACGUAAUCGUGAAGUUUUCAAGGAGUUUUAAGGUUAGAGGGAGCCUUAACACACCCUCACGAAGCUCGAGGAAGAAAGUUGGAGUGAUUUCGGGAAGCGUAGUUUGACAAGUUUGAAAUUUUGGCCGGAUUGUCGAGGUCUCUCAGGCAAGAUCCCGUGAAUUUCAAGGCCUAAAAGUGAAACCGGCGAUCGCAGCGGCACCGGCACCGGACUCUAGCGAACCAAGGAAGAAGGAGGAGAAUAUUCCGUCAAAGUUGACAAAAUAUUCUGACGCCAUUAGGUGUGCCAAGCACGUGCCUGCGCAUGGGGGUGUAUAUGGUCGUGCUUUGGCCCGCGCGUGAGGGCAUGUGGAGUCAUGAAAUUUUUUUCUAAAAUUAUGGGGAUGCUCCUGACGUUGAGUAGG
Malus domestica (apple) is the source of this 504-nucleotide long non-coding RNA. RefSeq lists it as uncharacterized. NCBI's taxonomy places the organism in Eukaryota, Viridiplantae, Streptophyta, Magnoliopsida, Rosales, Rosaceae. The record is from RefSeq and is a predicted model, not a curated record.